This is a non-coding RNA of Drosophila melanogaster (fruit fly), 532 nucleotides long. NCBI's taxonomy places the organism in Eukaryota, Metazoa, Arthropoda, Insecta, Diptera, Drosophilidae. The record is from Ensembl.
UCCAAGUAUGUAUAUAGUAUAUUUACUAUAUAAUAUAGACAUCCCAUUGUAGCUAUUUCAUUGUGUACUCACUUUUAAUGGAAAAGUACACACGUUGGGGUAACGCAAACAAAGAACUAGAAUCCGAAGAGAAGCCAAACUCAACUUGGCGGAGCAAAAAUGUCAAAAAAGCUGACAAAUUUAGCAAAAAUAAUUGCCCGAAAUUGUCGAAGCAAAAAAAGCGACGCCAGAAGGAGAAGGCAGCUAAAAAACGAGAAAUAAAAAAACAAAACCCAUGAUGUCGGCCGAAAUCGCCGAUCGCUGCGCCCAAAUAAGUACGCAGCCCAUGGGGGGUAUACAUGGGCUUCACGCCCCCUCCCCUCCCCGCUCACCACUCACCACCCAGCAACAUAGCCCCCCCUUUUAGCGGGGGCAGAAACAACAAGUUGAGCCGACCGAUCGAUCGUAUGAAACCCGAAAUGCCGAAAAACAGCAAGAGAUUCGCUAAGGGAGCCAAAAAAAAUCAUUCGAUUUUCGGCAUCUUAAGUUUUUG